GCUUCGGCUUGUACGUUUGUGUGUUAUUAUGGAGCAAAAGUGACAAGUUUAGACGCGUCAGUUUCGAGUUAAUUUUAAAAUUUUGGAUGUUGAUGCAAUUUUACCUCAGCCAAAAUCAUUGGAAAAGGUGCAUAAAGACGCUCAGAAGGCGGAACCGGUGCAGUGAGUAUUUUUCCCGGUACGGAUUUCCCGCAGAAACGGAACGAAAAAAUCUUCCCACUGCGAAGUAGAGCAAGCGCUUGGGAAGCCGAAGCGGCAGGUGGUGGCGGCGGUGGGAACGGGAAAGUCGUGAGCGCGGGAACAGGCAAAAGCCUCGGCCGCCUUCGAUUUCGACGUCUCCGAAUCGUGAAACAAAAACAUUCAAACUUCGAAGCCGCGUCAAAUCGUCACUGACGGGAUAAACAAAAACAAGAUCACAAAAGUGAUAAAGUGGCGCUUUCCGUUUGAAUUUGGAAACAGAGGAGUUUGCUGAAGUUAAAAAAAGCCCUACUCGCAAUCAAAUAGAUCAGAAUGCCUCGAUUGAAGAAAAAAGAAGAACCAACUCCACCGGCAGAGCCCACAGUAACCCUGACGGCAGGUCGCUCUCGCCGUACCAUCAAACCCAAUCGUAAAUAUCUCAAUGAUAGUGUGGUAUUGGCCACAACGUCCAAAACUUCAUCACGGGACAGCAGUCCAGAUAGCGAUGCCAGCGAAGAUGACUACAGACAGGACGAUGAUGAUGAGGAGAUUAUCCCACCGAAAUCGGCUGCCGGGAGAAAAAGUACUGGCUCGACUGCGGCUGCCAAGAGGAAACCGGGACCAGCCACUCCGGGUGCCAGAUCACGAGGUAGACCUCCCAAAGGGGUAACCAAAACCGAGCCUGUUAAAAAUUUGCGAAAGGAAGUUUUGAAAAAGAUGGACUUGUCAACCUUGAACAUGGGAAGGGCUCGCGUAGUUUUGACCCCAAUUAACAAGGACAUCAAGAGGAAGCUUGAUUUAGACACAUCCCUUGUGAAAGAUAAGACGCCCAUCAGAGGGAAGCAACCAGAAAAGCAACCAGAAAAACAACCGGAGAAACAAGCUGAGAGGCCAAAACCUAAAAUAUUGAGCAAACCUCAAGAGCCUGUGAAACCCGAGAGACAUGCUCCAGGCAAAGUGGUGGAUAAUAGAGAAAAGCCCAAGCCAAUGUUUAAGAAGAAACCAUCGGAACUACCAUCUCCGAAGCAACGGGAACCACAGGUGCCCAAGAAGUUAAUCAACCCCGCAGCAUUGCAGAAACAAAGGGUGGAGAAGUCGAUACUAGAUAAAAGACAGAAGAAACCGGAAAAGCCCACGACAACAGAAGACGUCGAAGAUGAUGACGAUGAUGUCCAAAUAGUUGGAAUUAGUCGUGAAGUGGCGCCAAACUUAGGGCGGAAAUCAUUACGAAAAAGUCCACUGAUUGCAAAGCAAAUUUCACCGAUCGCGAGGAAACCAGCUAAACCGGUUGUUGCUAGUAAGACUACGCCCCCAGUUGUCACCAAGUCUACUCCGCCUGUUGGUGCUUCCGGACCAAAGCGUAAAGCAGCAGAUUCUAGUGCAGACGAUAGCGGAAUUAAGGCAAGACAGGCUCGUUCGUCAAAGGUCAGCAAAAUGUCCAUCACAUUGGACUCGGAUGACGAUGAAAUGAGUGAUGGCGAACCCGUUCGCAGAAGCACUCGAUCCAGCUUGAUCUCAGACAAGGGUUCUGCUGCUAACUCACCGCAGAACACUUCCGCCAAAGCAAAGGAUUCGUCAGCUCCCACAAAGCUACCCGGAAAAGAUGCAAACAUUACGAAGGCUACAAUAAGCAAAUCUAUUAGUAUGCCAGCUUUGGACAAAACUAAGAUAGCUAGCAGACCUUCCACUGCUAAACCGAUACAAACACCAGCCUCCAAAAUUUUGCCGAAACCGAUGGCUCAGUCAACGCCGAAACCUGCUGUUGCUUCCACGUUAGGAGAGAAGAAAAGCAAGUCCGAGAUGAAUCUCGCCGAUCCCAUCAAUUCUUCCGACAAGGAUCUCAAAGGAAAGGACAAAAACAAGUCGGAUCAAGCAACCAUUCGGAUUGUUAACAUUGGUGACAUCAUAAAAAAUAAAGCCAACAGCACGCCCGAUGUUCGGAAAGCUGGUAUUAGUAAGCCAAUCGCUACAAAGGACAUGUAUGCCUCUUCCACCGAAAGUGAAGACUCGGAGGAUUCAGAUUUUUCGGAAGAUUCGUAUGAUCCGAAAACAGAUAAACCCAAAACUAAUAAUCAGCUAGUAGCCACGAUAUUGGAACGUAAACGACCUAUCAAUUUGGAUCAUUUACGGCUUAACCGGUCGGGGAAACGAGGGCGACCAUCCACCAAACAGUCUGCUGCAGAAAACAAAGUCCCCAAAGCAUCGGGCGCUAAUCUGGCCCAAGACGAUGGAGUGGACUUUGAGGAUAUGCUUCAAACCAACAUCGUAACUGCAAACAAAGUUCAAAAGGUCAUCAAUCCAACGAUUAUGCGGGGUCGUGGAAGGCCUCCAAAUAGCACAGAUGAAAACUCUUCGCGCCCUAGCGUAACCAAAGCAGUGCCAUUGAACAAGGGACCGGCCACUGCGGGUGUUAAAACGCUGACAUCCAAUAAUAAUAACGUGUACAAAUCCAACAACAAUGGCCGGCUUGGGUCGACGACAACUCUCAAUCGGUCUGGCUCGACAAGUCCUCAGAAAGGACCACCUCGAAUUUUGAAUGCCACCAUGAAACUGGGCGACAACCGUCCAUUUGCCAAAUUGAUUGCGAAUAGCGAUAACAAACACUACUCAAUCGAUUUGACGGAUCCGGACAACAAUGUUAAGCUGAUAGCAUCUCCAGGCUCCACGGCGAUUUCGCCGGUGAAGAGAUCACCUAUCAAGCCUGUUCCGCGACCGAUCGUUGCCUCGACCGGUCUGCGGAACACUUCGAACGCUGUGAACAAGUCCGUCGGUGGGGCAGUGCAACGAUCGGUCUCUGCGAUUACCAGUUCCUCUGGUAGUGGUUCCAAGAUGAAGAAGAUCACCUGCUAUGAAACAUGGUACGUCAUCAACAUCCCCAACACGGAGAACAAACCGGAACGUCCAUCGUUUGCCAUGUCGAUGAUUGGGCUUGGCAAUGAAGCAGCCAACAUUCAGCUGCCUUCCUCGGAGUGGUCCCACAAAAUUAUUCUCACAAAGCGAAAAGUGCUCCCGACCGAAGGCGAUGAGGUUUUCAAUGGCGACGUGGAAGAUCGAGCCAUCAGCGAGGAAGAGAAGCGCAAUUAUGAACCUUGCAAUAUCAUGUUCCGGAGGCGAACGGCCACACCGGGCAAGUUCAACCUGCAGUACGAUCGGGCGGUUAUUUUCAAGAACGACACUUUCUUCAUCAACGUCGAUGGAAAGAACUGCCAGCUGGUGGGGGCUCCCUGCAAGCUCGGCGAUGUCCAUGACAUUGAGACCCUGUUGUCCGUUGUCGAUUUUGUAAAUCUGAAAAACUCAUGUGUCGAAUUGUCGGCUGCCUAAUUUGUACGGAUGACCGCAGUUGUUGUCCGGUGAAAAGUCGACAACCUGUAAAUAGCUUUAUUUUAAACGAAUAACAUCAGAAGCACUCCAACUAAAACAGAUGCCACCUAGAACGGAGAGAAAGCCGUACAGAUUGUGAGACUAAGAUGAGAGGAAUCGCAAAGAACGCUAAAGGAAGCAUCCAUGGAAGGAUUCCAGAUGCUUCAACUUGGGAAUGUUCAAUUAUUGUCAUAUAUUGCGUUUUCAACAGUUUGAUUUAGAAUUUUAGUUCAGUGUGUAGUAACUAGUAUGUACUCGAAAACUAUGUAUAACAAGUACAAAAAAACUUGGAAAUAAUACUACUAAUAAUUUACAAUUUGUAAAUAUAGUAGUUUCUCUACAAAUUCAAAUUUGUUACUGUUUCAUUUAUAUGCUUAGUAUAAAAAGAUCUAAUGUGUAAGCUUGAUGAAUAAUGACUACAAUGUGUAAAAGUGUAACAAUAUAAAAAACUUUAUUCAGUUAUCAAUAAAAGUAUAAGUGGAAAAUUCAAA
RNA transcript from Aedes aegypti (yellow fever mosquito), 4028 nucleotides. It is a transcript of the gene named nucleolar and coiled-body phosphoprotein 1, with no coding region annotated. The transcript is spliced from 5 exons. The record is from RefSeq and is a predicted model, not a curated record. NCBI's taxonomy places the organism in Eukaryota, Metazoa, Arthropoda, Insecta, Diptera, Culicidae.